AUGGCCGCCCUCCAUGUUGUCAUCCUCCUGUCAUUGAUUUGUAUCUGCAGAUCUGAUGACCGCCUGACUCCUGCAAAGCCGCUCUCCGCCGGCGACAAGCUCGUCUCGAGCAACGGUGUCUUUGCUCUUGGCUUCUUCUCCCCCACAAACUCGACUGUGGGCUCAUACGUCGGCAUAUGGUACAACAACAUCCCCAAGCGUACUUAUGUGUGGGUUGCUAACCGCGACAAGCCGAUCACCAACGCUUCUUCCGGGAAGCUGGUUGUGACCAACAACUCUGAUCUUGUGUUGUCUGACUCCCAAGGCCGCACUCUUUGGACAACCAUGAACAACUUCACAACCGGAGCCACGGGAACUUCUGCUGUACUUCUCGACUCCGGAAACUUUGUCAUCCGGUUGCCCAACAGCACAGACAUAUGGCAAAGCUUCCAUUACCCAACCGACACCAUCCUCCCCGGCAUGCAAUUACCACUGAGCACAGAUGAUGAUCUCUACACUCGCCUCGUGGCUUGGAGGGGCCCUGAUGACCCAGCCACCAGCGACUACUCCAUGGGCGGUGACUCUAGUUCAGACCUCCAGGUUGUCAUCUGGAAUGGGACGAGGCCGUAUUGGCGCAGAGCUGCAUGGGAUGGUGCGUUGGUCACUGCCCUGUAUCAAAGCAGCACUGGCUUCAUCAUGACCCAAACAACUGUCGACAUAGGGGGUAAGUUCUACUUGACAUUCACCGUCUCCGACGGCUCGCCAAGCACGCGCCUGAUUCUGCACUACACGGGCAUGUUUCAGUUUUUAGCGUGGAACAGCACCUCAUCGUCAUGGAAUGUUUUCAUAGAGCGGCCUAAUCCUAGUUGUGACCGCUACGCCUAUUGUGGACCAUUUGGUUACUGUGAUGCCACUGAAACAGUUCCGAAAUGCAACUGCCUCAGUGGGUUUGAGCCUGAUGGUGUAAACUUCUCCCAAGGGUGUCGGAGAAAGGAGGAGCUGACAUGUGGUGGUGGAGAUAGUUUCUCAACCUUGAGUGGCAUGAAGACACCCGAUAAGUUUGUGUAUGUCAGGAACAGAAGCUUUGACCAAUGCGAAGCAGAGUGCAGAAACAACUGCGCUUGCACCGCAUAUGCUUUUUCUAACAUGAAAAAUGGCAGCACGUCUAGUGACCAGGCAAGGUGCUUGAUUUGGUUGGGGAAGCUUGUCGACACAGGAAAGUUUCGUGAUGGAAGUGGCGAGAACCUGUACCUUCGUCUAGCCAGUUCAACAGUUGACAGAGAGAGUAAUGUGUUGAAGAUUGCACUCCCAGUAAUUGCUAGUAUUCUGAUACUCGCAUGCAUCAGCCUUGCGUGGAUAUGCAAGUCAAGAGGAAAACUUCGAAUCAAGGAAACUAAGAACAAAUAUACAGGACAACUGUCAAAAAAUUCCAAAUCUAAUGAACUUGAGAAUGAAACUAUAGAACUUCCAUAUAUUUGUUUUGAAGAUGUUGUUACUGCAACAGACAAUUUCUCAGACUACAACAUGCUCGGGAAAGGUGGCUUUGGAAAAGUUUACAAGGGCCGGUUAGAAGGUGGCAAUGAAGUUGCUGUCAAAAGGCUUAGUAAGAGUUCUGGGCAAGGGGCUGACGAGUUCAGAAAUGGAGUGGUUCUGAUUGCCAAAUUGCAGCAUAGAAAUUUAGUUAGGCUUCUUGGUUACUGCACUCAUGAAGAUGAGAAGUUAUUGCUAUAUGAAUACUUACCUAACAAAAGCUUAGACACCUUCCUUUUUGAUGCCACAAGAGAUAGUGUGCUUGAUUGGCCGACCAGGUUCAAGGUAAUUAAAGGAAUAGCAAGAGGGCUUCUUUAUCUCCACCAAGAUUCAAGGUUAACAAUAAUCCAUAGAGAUCUCAAAGCAAGCAAUGUCUUGUUAGAUGCGGAAAUGAACCCUAAAAUAUCGGAUUUUGGUAUGGCAAGGAUCUUUGGUGGAAAUGAACAACAAGCGAACACUAUCUGUGUUGUUGGGACAUACGGUUACAUGUCACCUGAAUAUGCAAUGGAAGGUUCCUUUUCAGUCAAGUCUGACACGUACAGCUUUGGUGUUCUACUGUUGGAGAUUGUAAGCGGGUUAAAGAUCAGUUCAUCCAAUCUCAUAAUGGAUUUUCCAAGCCUUAUAGCUUAUGCAUGGAGCUUAUGGAAAGAUGGAAAUGCAAGAAAAUUGGUGGACUCGUCCAUUGUGGAGAACUGUCCACUUCAUGGAGUUCUGCGGUGUAUUCAGUUAGGUCUGUUGUGUGUUCAAGAUGAUCCAGAUGCUCGUCCACUCAUGUCAUCCACUGUGUUCAUGUUAGAAAAUGAAACAGCCCCACUUCCUACUCCGAAGGAGCCUGUAUAUUUUAGGAAACGGAAGUAUGAAAUUGAAGACCAAAGAGAUAACGUGGAAAUAUCUCUGAAUGGCAUGACUAUGACAAUGCAAGAGGGGCGUUAA
This 2442-nucleotide ribosomal RNA is filed under the name Triticum aestivum (bread wheat). Its description in RNAcentral is "partial small subunit ribosomal RNA". The record is from RNAcentral. Lineage: Eukaryota; Viridiplantae; Streptophyta; Magnoliopsida; Poales; Poaceae.